CGUCCUAUAACAUUUUGUGUAAACGAGAGAAGGCCUGAUCAGUGGAAGCAUUUGAAAGCAGCUUCGACUAUUUCUUCUUCUGGGCAACAAGAAAAAUAUGAAAACGACGAUUAUUGUGUUGGCCGUCAUCGGGCUUGCUUUAUUCCAUUCAUGUCCAUGUAUUCCAAAUAAAGUACAUGGGGAUGAAAUGUACAAGAAAAUUCAUGGACAAGAGAUGCGCAAACUCACCAAUAUUGAUGGAAGGGCUGCCCAAGCUGGUGAAGACAUACAUCAUGUUUGUCCACUUGGGAGCUACCCUUGUCGAGCCAUGAUCCAGAGUUCUCAGGGAAGCACACAAGGUUUUGGUGGACACUGAAAGUGUACCAACAUAGAGAAUGUGAAAUAUAGUGUUUGUGUAAGAUUGUGUAUUUUAUCAAGGGCGGCCUGCUCUGCGAAUGUACUGUAUCCUUCUACUAUCUGUUUCUGGUUUUGUUGCUUCAUGUAGCAUCAAGUCUAUGUUUUGUACUGGAGACUAACUUUAAGAAAUGAGAGUCAUAAACCUUUUAGUAUGAA
This is a long non-coding RNA of Setaria italica (foxtail millet), 552 nucleotides long. RefSeq lists it as uncharacterized. Lineage: Eukaryota; Viridiplantae; Streptophyta; Magnoliopsida; Poales; Poaceae. The transcript has 2 exons. The record is from RefSeq and is a predicted model, not a curated record.